Molecule: ribosomal RNA, 253 nt
Filed under: uncultured bacterium
Lineage: Bacteria
Description: partial 16S ribosomal RNA
Rfam family: Bacterial small subunit ribosomal RNA
Source: RNAcentral
UACAGAGGUGCCAAGCGUUGUUCGGAUUUAUUGGGCGUAAAGGGUGCGUAGGCGGUUGUGUAAGUCGGAUGUGAAAUCCCGGAGCCUAACUCCGGAACGGCAUUCGAAACUACACAGCUCGAGAUCUGGAGAGGUGAGUGGAAUUCUCGGUGUAGCAGUGAAAUGCGUAGAUAUCGAGAGGAACACCAGAGGCGAAAGCGACUCACUGGACAGAAUCUGACGCUGAGGCACGAAAGCCAGGGGAGCAAACGGG